AUAGUGGAACAGAAAUGGUGGUGUCAUAUGCAACCAUGUCUAGAGGGAGAGGAAUGUAAAGUUCUUCCAGACCGGAAAGGAUGGAGCUGCUCCUCUGGGAAUAAAGUGAAAACAACUAGGGUAACCCAUUAACCAAGGAUAAAUCAAGUGAUCCUCAAGGCUGAUGACUUUGACUGUACACAUAGAAACUUAACUCCUGAGGUGAUCUUGAAAGAUUUUUAUACCACUCGGAAAGGGUUGCUUCAGAUCCAUUUCCAAGGGAUUUCAUGGUUUGUAACCAACCUCCUCUUGAAAUCAAGACUUAAAAUGUUAGACAUGAACUUCUGCAUCAUGGAGAUUUCUUCAGAAUUGAACUGUGUCCAACUUGUAAAAUUGUUAAAAGAAUUUGAAAUUGCUGUCUGCAGAGUUUGCGAAGAAUUGGUGUUUUCAGGGUGAUGCCACAGAUGGUCACCUUUUGGAUGCUUGGGUCCAGAUGUGACUGCUUUUCCCGUUUCUGAAAGUUCCUGAAUGCCCUGGCCUUCUGUCAUGGAUGUGUUCCUGGGUUCUGUGUUCAAUGGCUAGUGAGACUGCACACGGCUUUAAUGACAUUUCCUUUGUGAACUUCUCUGGCAUGGCAUAGACUGAGAUAAUUUUAUUUGUAUCCUAUUCUUGGAACUCUGAAAGCCUACACGUUUUAACAUCUUAAAGUUGCUUUUGUUAAAGGAAUGGAAAUAUAUAUCCAUUGAUAAUAAUUAUUGUUGACAAGUAAUAGUUAUCUGAGUACAUCCAUCAUUUAAGAAUGUAUAGACAAGCUGACAUAUUUUCCCAAGGCUAACAUACUACUGCAGCUGUCAAUUAAAUAGGUAGCAGUUAGUACUGGAUUACCAUUUUCAUUAUAUAAUACUUUGUACCUCUAGAUCACUCUCUAUUUCAGUUUUCUUCUCUUUCUUUCUUUCUUUCUUUUUUCUUUUUAUUUUUGUAAAUUAGCUUUUCCUUUCAUUUAAAAUUUUAUUUUUAUUUUUACUUUUCCUUCCACAGACAUCAGCAGUGAGCAGUCAAGUUCUUAGGUAGCCUUCAGUUUGGAAAAAUUGCCAGGAAUGCAUGUGCGUUUCUGAUUUCUUGGCGUGAACGUUAUUCACCUAGAUUUCUUCUAACACUUUUUUUUUUCUAAAAAUUGUUCUUUCUCAGUUUAAAAGACUGUCUCUUGCUCGAUCUCAAUGGCUGUUUGAAUGCUUAUAUAUUUGUUUGUUCAG
Long non-coding RNA from Tupaia belangeri chinensis (Chinese tree shrew), 1232 nucleotides. RefSeq lists it as uncharacterized. The record is from RefSeq and is a predicted model, not a curated record. NCBI's taxonomy places the organism in Eukaryota, Metazoa, Chordata, Mammalia, Scandentia, Tupaiidae. The transcript has 2 exons.